This 433-nucleotide ribosomal RNA is filed under the name uncultured bacterium. RNAcentral's name for it is "partial 16S ribosomal RNA". It matches the Rfam family "Bacterial small subunit ribosomal RNA", at positions 29 to 507 of the family's 1533-position model. The record is from RNAcentral.
AACGAACGCUGGCGGCAUGCCUAACACAUGCAAGUCGAACGAGACCUUCGGGUCUAGUGGCGCACGGGUGCGUAACGCGUGGGAACCUGCCCUUAGGUUCGGAAGAACUCCCCGAAAGGGGUGCUAAUACCGGAUAAUGUCUUCGGACCAAAGAUUUAUCGCCUUUGGAUGGUCCCGCGUUGGCUUAGCUAGUUGGUAGCGUAAAAGCCUACCAAGGCGACGAUGCAUAGCUGGUCUGAGAGGAUGAUCAGCCACACUGGGACUGAGCCACGGCCCAGACUCCUACGGGAGGCAGCAGUGGGGAAUAUUGGACAAUGGGCGAAAGCCUGAUGCAGCAAUGCCGCGUGAGUGAUGAAGGCCUUAGGGUUGUAAAGCUCUUUUACCCGGGAUGAUAAUGACAGUACCGGGAGAAUAAGCUCCGGCUAACUCCGUG